Long non-coding RNA from Micropterus salmoides (largemouth bass), 364 nucleotides. RefSeq lists it as uncharacterized. The transcript has 4 exons. NCBI's taxonomy places the organism in Eukaryota, Metazoa, Chordata, Actinopteri, Centrarchiformes, Centrarchidae. The record is from RefSeq and is a predicted model, not a curated record.
CUCCUUCAACCACCUCUCCUCCUCUCCCCUUGUUGUGGUCUACUGUUCUGUGUUCUGGUUUUACUGGUUUUACUGGUUUUACUGGCGAGACGAUGCCUCCACAGGAAACCUAAAGCUGCUGAAGUAGAAGCUGGGGAUGAUGACAUCACAGAUGACAUCACAUACAGUGAUGUCAAAAUAUCACGUCACCUACAGCAGCCAAUCAGAUGCAGCAAAGAGAGUGAUCCAGCUGCAGUCUACUCAACAGUGAGAGGAACAGGAGACGUCAGUUAUGGACAAAUAGUCAUCAAAGACAUCAAAUCAAACAGGACGAGAGAGAGUGAUCCAGCUGCAGUCUACUCAGCAGUAAGAACAGGAGACGUCA